RNAcentral lists this ribosomal RNA (355 nucleotides) under uncultured Escherichia sp. Its description in RNAcentral is "bacterial SSU rRNA". It matches the Rfam family "Bacterial small subunit ribosomal RNA", at positions 8 to 359 of the family's 1533-position model. The record is from RNAcentral. Lineage: Bacteria; Pseudomonadati; Pseudomonadota; Gammaproteobacteria; Enterobacterales; Enterobacteriaceae.
AGAGUUUGAUCCUGGCUCAGAUUGAACGCUGGCGGCAGGCCUAACACAUGCAAGUCGAACGGUAACAGGAAGCAGCUUGCUGCUUCGCUGACGAGUGGCGGACGGGUGAGUAAUGUCUGGGAAGCUGCCUGAUGGAGGGGGAUAACUACUGGAAACGGUAGCUAAUACCGCAUAAUGUCGCAAGACCAAAGAGGGGGACCUUCGGGCCUCUUGCCAUUGGAUGUGCCCAGAUGGGAUUAGCUUGUUGGUGGGGUAACGGCUCACCAAGGCGACGAUCCCUAGCUGGUCUGAGAGGAUGACCAGCCACACUGGAACUGAGACACGGUCCAGACUCCUACGGGAGGCAGCAGAAGGG